CCUACGGGUGGCAGCAGUGAGGAAUAUUGGUCAAUGGGCGCAAGCCUGAACCAGCCAUGCCGCGUGCAGGAAGAAUGCCCUAUGGGUUGUAAACUGCUUUUAUUUGGGAAUAAACCUCUUUACGUGUAGAGAGCUGAAGGUACCAAAUGAAUAAGCACCGGCUAACUCCGUGCCAGCAGCCGCGGUAAUACGGAGGGUGCAAGCGUUAUCCGGAAUCAUUGGGUUUAAAGGGUCCGUAGAAGGUCGUGUAGAAAGCCUACAGCUCAACUGUAGAACUGCCAUUGAUACUGUAGGACUUGAAUUCGGUCGAAGUGGGCGGAAUAUGACAUGUAGCGGUGAAAUGCUUAGAUAUGUCAUAGAACACCGAUAGCGAAGGCAGCUCACUAGGCCUGGAUUGACGCUCAGGGACGAAAGCGUGGGGAUCAAACAGGAUUAGAUACCCCAGUAGUC
This 450-nucleotide ribosomal RNA is filed under the name uncultured bacterium. RNAcentral's name for it is "partial 16S ribosomal RNA". It matches the Rfam family "Bacterial small subunit ribosomal RNA", at positions 338 to 795 of the family's 1533-position model. The record is from RNAcentral.